GCAUUCCAAUGCAAAAUAAUGACUGCACAGCAUCAUCAGAAAAACCAGAAGCAAAAUAGUCAAAACAUCAUGCAACUUCAGAAAAAUGAAAUGUUGAAUCCGGGUACUGAAAAAAUUCUUUUGUAAGAGUUGCAAUGUCAGAGUGCAGAGAUUAUCUAUUAUGAAAUAACAUCACAACGCACACCAACUGAUUAUGAAAUAAACAAUGCCAUAACUGUUCAUUUUUUAAUAAAUUUUUUUAAAAAAAAUUAAAAUUUAUGUGGGCCCACAAUAUAAAAAACAAUAACUUCAUCUUAAUUAACUGCCACAUAAGUAGUUAAGCACCCUAACUACAAUUUUGACCAUCGGACAAAAUUACAACUAACCUUUGAAAUUGGGACUAUUUAGCUAAAAUUGAAAGGAUAGAAUAUAAUUGCAAAAACUUGGAAACGUUUAGCUUUUUUAACCAUUAAGAAGAAGAGUUGGUCACAAUGGGAUUAUGAAUAAGAAAUGAAUUUCAAUCCAACAACAUGCAAAAAAGAAAUGAAAGCAGAAUCUAGGCAUACCUUUUCAAAAACUCUAAGAACCAG
Molecule: unclassified non-coding RNA, 569 nt
Filed under: Hevea brasiliensis (rubber tree)
Lineage: Eukaryota; Viridiplantae; Streptophyta; Magnoliopsida; Malpighiales; Euphorbiaceae
Source: RNAcentral